UCAUCGUGCAGAAACAAGUAGAGUUGGUUUGACCAAAGACAGAGCGGAGCGGAAAAAGAAAACAGAACAAAAAGUAUCCAAAUCAUUUCCGCAUUCUUCUAGGAUUUUCAUCUGCUUUUCUUUCACCUUCUUCUU
RNAcentral lists this non-coding RNA (135 nucleotides) under uncultured Nitzschia. The record is from RNAcentral. Lineage: Eukaryota; Bacillariophyta; Bacillariophyceae; Bacillariales; Bacillariaceae.